This 445-nucleotide ribosomal RNA is filed under the name uncultured bacterium. RNAcentral's name for it is "partial 16S ribosomal RNA". It matches the Rfam family "Bacterial small subunit ribosomal RNA", at positions 354 to 796 of the family's 1533-position model. The record is from RNAcentral.
GUGAGGAAUAUUGGUCAAUGGGCGCAAGCCUGAACCAGCCAUGCCGCGUGCAGGAAGACGGUCCUAUGGAUUGUAAACUGCUUUUAUUUGGGAAUAAACUCCGGUACGUGUACCGGCCUGAAGGUACCAAAUGAAUAAGCACCGGCUAACUCCGUGCCAGCAGCCGCGGUAAUACGGAGGGUGCAAGCGUUAUCCGGAAUCAUUGGGUUUAAAGGGUCCGCAGGCGGUCUUAUAAGUCAGUGGUGAAAGCCUACAGCUCAACUGUAGAACUUCCAUUGAUACUGUAGGACUUGAAUUCGAUCGAAGUUGGCGGAAUGUGACAUGUAGCGGUGAAAUGCUUAGAUAUGUCACAGAACACCGAUAGCGAAGGCAGCUCACUAGGUCUGGAUUGACGCUCAGGGACGAAAGCGUGGGGAGAAAACAGGAUUAGAAACCCGGGUAGUCC